This 544-nucleotide ribosomal RNA is filed under the name Rastrelliger kanagurta (Indian mackerel). Its description in RNAcentral is "partial 16S ribosomal RNA". It matches the Rfam family "Bacterial large subunit ribosomal RNA", at positions 1849 to 2586 of the family's 2925-position model. Lineage: Eukaryota; Metazoa; Chordata; Actinopteri; Scombriformes; Scombridae. The record is from RNAcentral.
AGGUCGAGCCUGCCCGGUGACUAUAUGUUUAACGGCCGCGGUAUUUUAACCGUGCAAAGGUAGCGCAAUCACUUGUCUUUUAAAUGAAGACCUGUAUGAAUGGUAUUACGAGGGCUUAACUGUCUCCUUUUUCAAGUCAGUGAAAUUGAUCUCCCCGUGCAGAAGCGGGGAUAAGACCAUAAGACGAGAAGACCCUAUGGAGCUUUAAGACACCAAGGCAAAUCAAGUUAAACACCCCUAAACAAAGGACUAAACCUAUUGAACUCUUGCCCGUAUGUCUUCGGUUGGGGCGACCAUGGGGAAACAAAAAACCCCCACGUGGAACGGGAGCACAACUACUCCUACAGCUGAGAGCUGCCGCUCUAAUAAGCAGAACUUCUGACCAAUAACUGAUCCGGCAACGCCGAUCAACGGACCAAGUUACCCUAGGGAUAACAGCGCAAUCCCCUUUUAGAGCCCCUAUCGACAAGGGGGUUUACGACCUCGAUGUUGGAUCAGGACAUCCCAAUGGUGCAGCCGCUAUUGAAGGUUCGUUUGUUCAACG